Musa acuminata AAA Group (dessert banana) is the source of this 957-nucleotide long non-coding RNA. RefSeq lists it as uncharacterized. The record is from RefSeq and is a predicted model, not a curated record. The transcript is spliced from 2 exons. Lineage: Eukaryota; Viridiplantae; Streptophyta; Magnoliopsida; Zingiberales; Musaceae.
AAUCGCAAGUCGUCUAUCAACGUGUGGAGAGAGAGAGAGAGAGAGAGAGGGAGAGUAGCAUAAUUUGACAAAGCAACCACCGAGCCGACCUACUUCAGUGCCUCGCCACUUCCAUGUAAGUCCACUAUAACGUGAAGCGACAGCACUCCUUUCGAUCCCUCCUUCACUCUUGCCUGCCAAAUCCCUUCUCUUCUUGUUAACCCAAGAGCGACGACUGCAGCCGACCAGCUUAAAGAGCCAACCAGCAGCAUGGGCCUUCAACACGAGCCUCAGAAGACCUCCUCUAGUGGCCCGGUGGUGAAGAAGGAGAGAUCGGUGGUGAGAUACAAGGAGUGCAGGAAGAACCAUGCCGCUAACGUCGGUGGAUAUGCCGUCGACGGCUGCCUGGAGUUCAUGGCGGCGGGAGAGGAGGGGACGAGUGACGCCCUCAGGUGCGCCGCCUGCAACUGCCACCGGAGCUUCCACCGAAGAGAGGUCGAAACCGUGACUGCGGUUUGUGGAUGCUCCCCCGGCUCCAGUUCCAGGAGAUGAUGGGACUCCGAUCCAUGCCGCGUACAGAACGUGUGCUGUAUAUUAUUGUGAUCGAUCUCACUCUUCUUUCGUGGUGUUUGGAUUUGCGUAUGCGUGGUACUUGUUUGUAUGCUGAAGAUGAUGACGAUGAUGAUGAUGAUACAGUUCAAGUGGAUAGAACUUCUACCUCCUUCCAUGAAGAAGCCAUGGCCUCCAAAAAGGGUUGCUCUAUGUGACCUUUGAUGCCUAAAAAUUCAGAUUGUGUCGUGUGCGUGUGUUGAGUAUACACACACAUAACAGUGCAACUGACUCAGAAAUGUAAAAUGGAUGAAGUAAAUUAUGUUAUCAUGUUGCUUCCUGGUCAAAGUGUUUGUUUUAUUUACUGGCUCAUUUCUUGUGUAACAGCGAAUAUUAAUUUGUAGGUGAAGUGUGAUGAAGGAACAUUAG